UCCUACGGGGGGCAGCAGGCGCGAAAACUCUGCAAUAAGCGAAAGCUUGACAGGGCUAUUCUGAGUGAUUUCCGCUAAGGAAGUCUUUUGGCACCUCUAAAAAUGGUGCAGAAUAAGGGGUGGGCAAGCCUGGUGUCAGCCGCCGCGGUAAUCUACGGGAGGCAGCAGGCGCGAAACCUCUGCAAUAGGCGAAAGCUUGACAGGGUUACUCUGAGUGACUUUCGC
This 225-nucleotide ribosomal RNA is filed under the name uncultured archaeon. RNAcentral's name for it is "partial 16S ribosomal RNA". The stretch from base 1 to 166 matches the Rfam family "Archaeal small subunit ribosomal RNA", at positions 321 to 495 of the family's 1478-position model. The record is from RNAcentral.